Molecule: ribosomal RNA, 253 nt
Filed under: uncultured bacterium
Lineage: Bacteria
Description: partial 16S ribosomal RNA
Rfam family: Bacterial small subunit ribosomal RNA
Source: RNAcentral
UACGUAGGGACCGAGCGUUGUCCGGAAUCAUUGGGCGUAAAGAGCGUGUAGGCGGCCCCUUAAGUCCUGCGUGAAAUCCUGCGGCUCAACCGCAGACGGUCGUGGGAAACUGGAGGGCUAGAGUGCGGGAGAGGAGAGUGGAAUUCCCGGUGUAGAGGUGAAAUUCGUAGAUAUCGGGAGGAACACCGGUGGCGAAGGCGGCGAUCUGGGUCGAUACUGACGCUGAGGUGCGAAAGCGUGGGGAGCAAACAGG